UACAGAGGUCUCAAGCGUUGUUCGGAUUCAUUGGGCGUAAAGGGUGCGUAGGUGGCGCGGUAAGUCGGGUGUGAAAUUUCGGAGCUUAACUCCGAAACUGCAUUCGAUACUGCGGUGCUUGAGGACUGGAGAGGAGACUGGAAUUCAUGGUGUAGCAGUGAAAUGCGUAGAGAUCAUGAGGAAGACCAGUGGCGAAGGCGGGUCUCUGGACAGUUCCUGACACUGAGGCACGAAGGCCAGGGGAGCAAACGGG
RNAcentral lists this ribosomal RNA (253 nucleotides) under uncultured bacterium. RNAcentral's name for it is "partial 16S ribosomal RNA". It matches the Rfam family "Bacterial small subunit ribosomal RNA", at positions 524 to 776 of the family's 1533-position model. The record is from RNAcentral.